GAUGAACGCUGGCGGCGUGCCUAAUGCAUGCAAGUCGAGCGAACGGACGAGAAGCUUGCUUCUCUGAUGUUAGCGGCGGACGGGUGAGUAACACGUGGAUAACCUACCUAUAAGACUGGGAUAACUUCGGGAAACCGGAGCUAAUACCGGAUAAUAUUUUGAACCGCAUGGUUCAAAAGUGAAAGACGGUCUUGCUGUCACUUAUAGAUGGAUCCGCGCUGCAUUAGCUAGUUGGUAAGGUAACGGCCUACCAAGGCAACGAUGCAUAGCCGACCUGAGAGGGUGAUCGGCCACACUGGAACUGAGACACGGUCCAGACUCCUACGGGAGGCAGCAGUAGGGAAUCUUCCGCAAUGGGCGAAAGCCUGACGGAGCAACGCCGCGUGAGUGAUGAAGGUCUUCGGAUCGUAAAACUCUGUUAUUAGGGAAGAACAUAUGUGUAAGUAACUGUGCACAUCUUGACGGUACCUAAUCAGAAAGCCACGGCUAACUACGUG
This 497-nucleotide ribosomal RNA is filed under the name uncultured bacterium. RNAcentral's name for it is "partial 16S ribosomal RNA". It matches the Rfam family "Bacterial small subunit ribosomal RNA", at positions 28 to 507 of the family's 1533-position model. The record is from RNAcentral.